Molecule: long non-coding RNA, 386 nt
Filed under: Salmo salar (Atlantic salmon)
Lineage: Eukaryota; Metazoa; Chordata; Actinopteri; Salmoniformes; Salmonidae
Description: lncRNA (ENSSSAG00000106887.1)
Source: RNAcentral
AGGACAUAAUCUGUAGCUAGAUCUAUAGUCUCUCUAAUACUAUGACAGGUCAGGACAUAAUCUGUAGCUAGAUCUAUUGUCUAAUAUUAUGACAGGUCAGGUUAUAAUCUGUAGCUAGAUCUAUAGUCUAAUAUCAUGACAGGUCAGGACAUAAUCUGUAGCUAGAUCUAUUGUCCAAUACUAUGACAGGUCAGGACAUAAUCUGCAGUUAGAUCUAUAGCCUCUAAUAUUAUGACAGGUCAGGUCAUAAUCUGUAGCUAGAUCUAUUAUCCAAUAUUAUGACAGGUCAGGACAUAAUCUGUACCUAGAUCUAUAGUCUAAUAUUAUGACAGGUCAGGUCAUUAUCUGUAGCUAGAUCUAUAGUCUCUCUAAUAUUAUGACAGGUC